RNAcentral lists this unclassified non-coding RNA (559 nucleotides) under Alternaria pseudoventricosa. Its description in RNAcentral is "sequence contains 18S rRNA gene, ITS1, 5.8S rRNA gene, ITS2". The stretch from base 193 to 346 matches the Rfam family "5.8S ribosomal RNA". Lineage: Eukaryota; Fungi; Ascomycota; Dothideomycetes; Pleosporales; Pleosporaceae. The record is from RNAcentral.
CAAUAACAAGGCGGGCUGGACACCCCCCGCUGGGCACUGCUUCACGGCGUGCGCGGCGGGGCCGGCCCUGCUGAAUUAUUCACCCGUGUCUUUUGCGUACUUCUUGUUUCCUGGGUGGGCUCGCCCGCCCUCAGGACCAACCACAAACCUUUUGCAAUAGCAAUCAGCGUCAGUAACAACGUAAUUAAUUACAACUUUCAACAACGGAUCUCUUGGUUCUGGCAUCGAUGAAGAACGCAGCGAAAUGCGAUACGUAGUGUGAAUUGCAGAAUUCAGUGAAUCAUCGAAUCUUUGAACGCACAUUGCGCCCUUUGGUAUUCCAAAGGGCAUGCCUGUUCGAGCGUCAUUUGUACCCUCAAGCUUUGCUUGGUGUUGGGCGUCUUUUGUCUCCAGUUCGCUGGAGACUCGCCUUAAAGUCAUUGGCAGCCGGCCUACUGGUUUCGGAGCGCAGCACAAGUCGCGCUCUUUGCCAGCCAAGGUCAGCGUCCAGCAAGCCUUUUUUUCAACCUUUGACCUCGGAUCAGGUAGGGAUACCCGCUGAACUUAAGCAUAUCAAUAA